RNAcentral lists this ribosomal RNA (930 nucleotides) under Cortinarius calaisopus. Its description in RNAcentral is "LSU rRNA". It matches the Rfam family "Eukaryotic large subunit ribosomal RNA", at positions 45 to 955 of the family's 3401-position model. Lineage: Eukaryota; Fungi; Basidiomycota; Agaricomycetes; Agaricales; Cortinariaceae. The record is from RNAcentral.
AAUAAGCGGAGGAAAAGAAACUAACAAGGAUUCCCCUAGUAACUGCGAGUGAAGCGGGAAAAGCUCAAAUUUAAAAUCUGUCAGUCUUUGGCUGUCCGAGUUGUAAUCUAGAGAAGUGUUAUCCGCGCUGGACCGUGUACAAGUCUCCUGGAAUGGAGCGUCAUAGAGGGUGAGAAUCCCGUCUUUGACACGGACUGCCAGGGCUUUGUGAUGCGCUCUCAAAGAGUCGAGUUGUUUGGGAAUGCAGCUCAAAAUGGGUGGUAAAUUCCAUCUAAAGCUAAAUAUUGGCGAGAGACCGAUAGCGAACAAGUACCGUGAGGGAAAGAUGAAAAGAACUUUGGAAAGAGAGUUAAACAGUACGUGAAAUUGCUGAAAGGGAAACGCUUGAAGUCAGUCGCGUUGGCCAGGGAUCAACCUUGCUCUUGCUUGGUGUACUUUCUGGUUGACGGGUCAGCAUCAAUUUCGACUGUUGGAAAAAGAUCAAGGGAAUGUGGCAUCUUUGGAUGUGUUAUAGCCCUUGAUUGUAUACAAUAGUUGGGAUUGAGGAACUCAGCACGCCGCAAGGCUUGGGUUUUAAUUUAAACCACAUACGUGCUUAGGAUGCUGGCAUAAUGGCUUUAAUCGACCCGUCUUGAAACACGGACCAAGGAGUCUAACAUGCCUGCGAGUGUUUGGGUGGAAAACCCGAGCGCGUAAUGAAAGUGAAAGUUGAGAUCCCUGUCAUGGGGAGCAUCGACGCCUGGACCAGACCUUUUGUGACGGUUCCACGGUAGAGCAUGUAUGUUGGGACCCGAAAGAUGGUGAACUAUGCCUGAAUAGGGUGAAGCCAGAGGAAACUCUGGUGGAGGCUCGUAGCGAUUCUGACGUGCAAAUCGAUCGUCAAAUUUGGGUAUAGGGGCGAAAGACUAAUCGAACCAUCUAGUAGCUGGU